Molecule: ribosomal RNA, 468 nt
Filed under: uncultured bacterium
Lineage: Bacteria
Description: partial 16S ribosomal RNA
Rfam family: Bacterial small subunit ribosomal RNA
Source: RNAcentral
GACGAACGCUGGCGGCGUGCUUAACACAUGCAAGUCGAACGGAAAGGCCCUGCUUUUGUGGGGUGCUCGAGUGGCGAACGGGUGAGUAACACGUGAGUAACCUGCCCUUGACUUUGGGAUAACUUCAGGAAACUGGGGCUAAUACCGGAUAGGAGCUCCUGCUGCAUGGUGGGGGUUGGAAAGUUUCGGCGGUUGGGGAUGGACUCGCGGCUUAUCAGCUUGUUGGUGGGGUAGUGGCUUACCACGGCUUUGACGGGUAGCCGGCCUGAGAGGGUGACCGGCCACAUUGGGACUGAGAUACGGCCCAGAAUCGUACGGGAGGCAACAGUGGGGAAUAUUGCACAAUGGGCGGAAGCCUGAUGCAGAAACGCCGCGUGCGGGAUGACGGCCUUCGGGUUGUAAACCGCUUUCGCCUGUGACGAAGCGUGAGUGACGGUAAUGGGUAAAGAAGCACCGGCUAACUACGUG